GGGGGGAUCGGAUAUUGGGCGUAAGAGCUCGUAGGCGGUUUGUCGCGUCUGCCGUGAAAGUCCGGGGCUCAACUCCGGAUCUGCGGUGGGUACGGGCAGACUAGAGUGAUGUAGGGGAGACUGGAAUUCCUGGUGUAGCGGUGAAAUGCGCAGAUAUCAGGAGGAGCACCGAUGGCGAAGGCAGGUCUCUGGGCAUUAACUGACGCUGAGGAGCGAGAGCAUGGGGAGCGAACAGGAUUAGAUACCCUGGUAGUCCAUGCCGUAAACGUUGGGCACUAGGUGUGGGGGACAUUCCACGUUUUCCGCGCCGUAGCUAACGCAUUAAGUGCCCCGCCUGGGGAGUACGGCCGCAAGGCUAAAACUCAAAGGAAUUGACGGGGGCCCGCACAAGCGGCGGAGCAUGCGGAUUAAUUCGAUGCAACGCGAAGAACCUUACCGAGGCUUGACAUGAACCGGUAAUACCUGGAAACAGGUGCCCCGCUUGCGGUCGGUUCACAGGUGGUGCAUGGUUGUCGUCAGCUCGUGUCGUGAGAUGUUGGGUUAAGUCCCGCAACGAGCGCAACCCUCGUUCCAUGUUGCCAGCGCGUAAUGGCGGGGACUCAUGGGAGACUGCCGGGGUCAACUCGGAGGAAGGUGGGGACGACGUCAAAUCAUCAUGCCCCUUAUGUCUUGGGCUUCACGCAUGCUACAAUGGCCGGUACAAAGGGUUGCGAUACUGUGAGGUGGAGCUAAUCCCAAAAAGCCGGUCUCAGUUCGGAUUGGGGUCUGCAACUCGACCCCAUGAAGUCGGAGUCGCUAGUAAUCGCAGAUCAGCAACGCUGCGGUGAAUACGUUCCCGGGCCUUGUACACACCGCCCGUCAAGUCACGAAAGUUGGUAACACCCGAAGCCGGUGGCCUAACCCCUUGUGGGAGGGAGCUGUCGAUGUGGACUGGCGAUUGGACUAAGUCGUAACAAGGUAACC
Molecule: ribosomal RNA, 963 nt
Filed under: uncultured bacterium
Lineage: Bacteria
Description: bacterial SSU rRNA
Rfam family: Bacterial small subunit ribosomal RNA
Source: RNAcentral